This 570-nucleotide ribosomal RNA is filed under the name uncultured bacterium. Its description in RNAcentral is "bacterial SSU rRNA". It matches the Rfam family "Bacterial small subunit ribosomal RNA", at positions 339 to 916 of the family's 1533-position model. The record is from RNAcentral.
CUACGGGAGGCAGCAGGGAAUAUUGGUCAAUGGGCGCAAGCCUGAACCAGCCAUGCCGCGUGAAGGAAGACGGCCCUACGGGUUGUAAACUUCUUUUGUACGGGAAAAAACCUCCGGUCGUGAACCGGAGCUGAUGGUACCGUAAGAAUAAGCACCGGCUAACUCCGUGCCAGCAGCCGCGGUAAUACGGGGGUGCGAGCGUUGUCCGGAAUGAUUGGGCGUAAAGCAUCUGUAGGUGGUUCUUAAAGUCGACUGUUAAAGCCCAGAGCUCAACUUUGGAUAAGCGGUCGAGCACUUAAGGACUUGAGUAUGGUAGGGGUAGAGGGAAUUCCUAGUGGAGCGGUGAAAUGCACAGAGAUUAGGAAGAACACCAAAGGCGAAAGCACUCUACUGGGCCAUGACUGGCACUGAGAGAUGAAAGUCGGGGGAGCGAAAAGGAUUAGAUACCCUUGUAGUCCCGACCGUAAACGAUGGAUACUAAGUGCUGACAAAAUCAGUGCUGUAGCUAACGCGUUAAGUAUCCCGCCUGGGGAGUAUGCUCGCAAGAGUGAAACUCAAAGGAAUUGACGG